Molecule: ribosomal RNA, 254 nt
Filed under: uncultured bacterium
Lineage: Bacteria
Description: partial 16S ribosomal RNA
Rfam family: Bacterial small subunit ribosomal RNA
Source: RNAcentral
UACGGGGGGAGCAAGCGUUGUUCGGAUUUACUGGGCGUAAAGGGCGCGUAGGCGGUCGUGACAGGUCACUUGUGAAAUCUCCGGGCUUAACUCGGAACGGUCAAGUGAUACUGUCGGACUAGAGUACAGAAGGGGCAACUGGAAUUCUCGGUGUAGCGGUGAAAUGCGUAGAUAUCGAGAGGAACACCUGCGGCGAAGGCAGCUUACUAAGCCGUUAUUGACGCUGAGGCACGAAAGCGUGGGGAGCAAACAGG